RNAcentral lists this long non-coding RNA (720 nucleotides) under Homo sapiens (human). RNAcentral describes it as "HSALNT0208179". Lineage: Eukaryota; Metazoa; Chordata; Mammalia; Primates; Hominidae. The record is from RNAcentral.
CACGUACCGUUAUGGGCUGCUGUAAGAAGAAAGACAGGAAGGUUCAGGGUGAAGCUAUGAAUUAUACAUGGCAAUGUAUUAAGGCUCGGACCUCAUUGUACAGCUUGGAGGAAGAGAUGGGAGCCAGAAAGGAAGUGUACUCCCCGGGGAUGCUCACACCAUCAUCUGCACAGCAGGAGAGUCAAAUUAGUUCCAGAGGGAGGGAAAUGCAUACAGCUUUAUCCGCCGGUCGGCCUGCUUGGCUGCCCGCAGGGAAGCGUUCACCAGGGGUCCCCGUCCUGCUCCCAGCACCAUCAGUACCCUAAGAAAGAAAGGGAAGAGUCAAGCAGACUUGGCAUAUACAGAUAUAGGAGGUAAGAGAAGCCACACCCAUCCCAGGAUUCUCAUGGACUCACCCACUGCAAUCCUCUUACUAUAGUCACACAAAGUCCGGAAGUUGUGCCACCUGUUCAGUCAAAUACAGAAAAGUACAGUAAACUAGAUAUGGCCGACCAAUCACCACAGCUCAAGGAGACCUCCCUACAGGUUGCACCCUGUACUUCCCCUCACCCUAUCCCUUGCACCCUGGUACAGCAGCAAAGGGAGACAUACCACAUCCACGUUUUCUCCUCCCCACUGUACUCCUCUGUGUGUGUAGUUGGUGCAUUCUCAAUUAUAUCAUCUCUCAGGUCCUCUGGUGCCACCAAGGGUACCCGCAUCCAGAACUGCACAUGAACAGUC